Molecule: ribosomal RNA, 467 nt
Filed under: uncultured bacterium
Lineage: Bacteria
Description: partial 16S ribosomal RNA
Rfam family: Bacterial small subunit ribosomal RNA
Source: RNAcentral
GACGAACGCUGGCGGCGUGCUUAACACAUGCAAGUCGAACGGAAAGGCCCUGCUUUUGUGGGGUGCUCGAGUGGCGAACGGGUGAGUAACACGUGAGUAACCUGCCCUUGACUUUGGGAUAACUUCAGGAAACUGGGGCUAAUACCGGAUAGGAGCUCCUGCUGCAUGGUGGGGGUUGGAAAGUUUCGGCGGUUGGGGAUGGACUCGCGGCUUAUCAGCUUGUUGGUGGGGUAGUGGCUUACCAAGGCUUUGACGGGUAGCCGGCCUGAGAGGGUGACCGGCCACAUUGGGACUGGGAUACGGCCCAGACUCCUACGGGAGGCAGGAGUGGGGAAUAUUGCACAAUGGGCGGAAGCCUGAUGCAGCAACGCCGGGUGCGGGAAGACGGCCUUCGGGUUGUAAACCGCUUUCGCCUGUGACGAAGCGUGAGGGACGGUAAUGGGUAAAGAAGCACCGGCUAACUACGU